GAUGAACGCUGGCGGCGUGCCUAAUACAUGCAAGUCGAGCGAACAGACGAGGAGCUUGCUCCUCUGACGUUAGCGGAGGACGGGUGAGUAACACGUGGAUAACCUACCUAUAAGACUGGGAUAACUUCGGGAAACCGGAGCUAAUACCGGAUAAUAUAUUGAACCGCAUGGUUCAAUAGUGAAAGACGGUUUUGCUGUCACUUAUAGAUGGAUCCGCGCCGCAUUAGCUAGUUGGUAAGGUAACGGCUUACCAAGGCAACGAUGCGUAGCCGACCUGAGAGGGUGAUCGGCCACACUGGAACUGAGACACGGUCCAGACUCCUACGGGAGGCAGCAGUAGGGAAUCUUCCGCAAUGGGCGAAAGCUUGACGGAGCAACGCCGCGUGAGUGAUGAAGGUCUUCGGAUCGUAAAACUCUGUUAUUAGGGAAGAACAAAUGUGUAAGUAACUAUGCACGUCUUGACGGUACCUAAUCAGAAAGCCACGGCUAACUACGUG
This 497-nucleotide ribosomal RNA is filed under the name uncultured bacterium. RNAcentral describes it as "partial 16S ribosomal RNA". It matches the Rfam family "Bacterial small subunit ribosomal RNA", at positions 28 to 507 of the family's 1533-position model. The record is from RNAcentral.